This 1017-nucleotide ribosomal RNA is filed under the name Nesterenkonia sp. 2024. Its description in RNAcentral is "bacterial SSU rRNA". It matches the Rfam family "Bacterial small subunit ribosomal RNA", at positions 408 to 1438 of the family's 1533-position model. Lineage: Bacteria; Bacillati; Actinomycetota; Actinomycetes; Micrococcales; Micrococcaceae. The record is from RNAcentral.
AUGACGGCCUUCGGGUGUAAACCGCUUUCAGCAGGGAAGAAGCGAAAGUGACGGUACCUGCAGAAGAAGCGCGGCUAACUACGUGCCAGCAGCCGCGGUAAUACGUAGGGCGCGAGCGUUAUCCGGAAUUAUUGGGCGUAAAGAGCUCGUAGGCGGUUUGUCACGUCUGCUGUGAAAGCCCGAGGCUCAACCUCGGGUGUGCAGUGGGUACGGGCAGACUAGAGUGCAGUAGGGGAGACUGGAAUUCCUGGUGUAGCGGUGAAAUGCGCAGAUAUCAGGAGGAACACCGAUGGCGAAGGCAGGUCUCUGGGCUGUUACUGACGCUGAGGAGCGAAAGCAUGGGGAGCGAACAGGAUUAGAUACCCUGGUAGUCCAUGCCGUAAACGUUGGGCACUAGGUGUGGGGGACAUUCCACGUUUUCCGCGCCGUAGCUAACGCAUUAAGUGCCCCGCCUGGGGAGUACGGCCGCAAGGCUAAAACUCAAAGGAAUUGACGGGGGCCCGCACAAGCGGCGGAGCAUGCGGAUUAAUUCGAUGCAACGCGAAGAACCUUACCAAGGCUUGACAUGGACCGGAUCGCUGCAGAGAUGCAGUUUCCCUUCGGGGUCGGUUCACAGGUGGUGCAUGGUUGUCGUCAGCUCGUGUCGUGAGAUGUUGGGUUAAGUCCCGCAACGAGCGCAACCCCUAUCCUAUGUUGCCAGCACGUUAUGGUGGGGACUCAUGGGAGACUGCCGGGGUCAACUCGGAGGAAGGUGGGGACGACGUCAAAUCAUCAUGCCCCUUAUGUCUUGGGCUUCACGCAUGCUACAAUGGCCGGUACAAUGGGUUGCGAUACUGUGAGGUGGAGCUAAUCCCUAAAAGCCGGUCUCAGUUCGGAUCGAAGUCUGCAACUCGACUUCGUGAAGUUGGAGUCGCUAGUAAUCGCAGAUCAGCAACGCUGCGAUAAUACGUUCCCGGGCCUUUUUUUUUUUUUCCGUCUUCUCUCCAAAGUGGGUAACACCUAAAGCCGGUGGCCUAA